AGGGGGGGGGCCUAUAAUGGCAGGUCGAACGAACUCUGGUAUUGAUUGGUGCUUGCAUCAUGAUUUACAUUUGAGUGAGUGGCGAACUGGUGAGUAACACGUGGGAAACCUGCCCAGAAGCGGGGGAUAACACCUGGAAACAGAUGCUAAUACCGCAUAACAACUUGGACCGCAUGGUCCGAGUUUGAAAGAUGGCUUCGGCUAUCACUUUUGGAUGGUCCCGCGGCGUAUUAGCUAGAUGGUGGGGUAACGGCUCACCAUGGCAAUGAUACGUAGCCGACCUGAGAGGGUAAUCGGCCACAUUGGGACUGAGACACGGCCCAAACUCCUACGGGAGGCAGCAGUAGGGAAUCUUCCACAAUGGACGAAAGUCUGAUGGAGCAACGCCGCGUGAGUGAAGAAGGGUUUCGGCUCGUAAAACUCUGUUGUUAAAGAAGAACAUAUCUGAGAGUAACUGUUCAGGUAUUGACGGUAUUUAACCAGAAAGCCACGGCUAACUACGUGCCAGCAGCCGCGGUAAUACGUAGGUGGCAAGCGUUGUCCGGAUUUAUUGGGCGUAAAGCGAGCGCAGGCGGUUUUUUAAGUCUGAUGUGAAAGCCUUCGGCUCAACCGAAGAAGUGCAUCGGAAACUGGGAAACUUGAGUGCAGAAGAGGGACAGUGGAACUCCAUGUGUAGCGGUGAAAUGCGUAGAUAUAUGGAAGAACACCAGUGGCGAAGGCGGCUGUCUGGUCUGUAACUGACGCUGAGGCUCGAAAGUAUGGGUAGCAAACAGGAUUAGAUACCCUGGGUAGUCCAUACCGUAAACGAUGAAUGCUAAGUGUUGGGAGGGUUUCCGCCCUUCAGUGCUGCAGCUAACGCAUUAAGCAUUCCGCCUGGGGGAGUACGGCCGCAAGGCUGAAACCUCAAGAAAUUGAACGGAA
RNAcentral lists this ribosomal RNA (921 nucleotides) under Lactiplantibacillus plantarum. Its description in RNAcentral is "bacterial SSU rRNA". It matches the Rfam family "Bacterial small subunit ribosomal RNA", at positions 38 to 919 of the family's 1533-position model. The record is from RNAcentral. Lineage: Bacteria; Bacillati; Bacillota; Bacilli; Lactobacillales; Lactobacillaceae.